This 1598-nucleotide long non-coding RNA is filed under the name Nicotiana benthamiana. RNAcentral's name for it is "long non-coding RNA (NBEN_LNC010992)". The record is from RNAcentral. Lineage: Eukaryota; Viridiplantae; Streptophyta; Magnoliopsida; Solanales; Solanaceae.
CAUGAAGGCAAUGGACGAAGAAGAAAAUUCUUUGGAAGAUGGACACAAUAAUAUGGCACCAAAUUCUAGCCCCAAUAUUGCACAAAAGAAGGGUAAUAAAUCAGGUUCAGCAAGUGGAAGAAAUAACUUUAAUACAAGGAGAGCAUAUUUCUAUUGGGUUACUAGAGAACAAGGUUCAUUUGAUUGGUUCAAAGGUAUAAUGAAUGAAGCUGCGGAAAUGGACCAUAAGGGAGUUAUUGAAAUGCAUAAUUAUUGUACUAGUGUAUAUGAAGAAGGUGAUGCUCGUUCUGCUCUUAUUACUAUGCUUCAGUCUCUUCACCAUGCCAAAAAUGGUGUUGACAUUGUUUCUGGCACGAGAGUUAAGUCACAUUUUGCUAAACCUAAUUGGCGUAAUGUCUACAAACGCAUUGCUCUCAACCACCCUGAGGCUAAAGUUGGUAAGCAUUUAUCUUCUUUCUUUUGAUCUCAAUUUUUAUGUUUUCUGUUUCGCUUAUUAUGAAGCCUCGGCAUAACUAGUAAAGUUGUUGCCCUAUGAUAAAAAAGUUACGGGUUCGAGCAGUGGAAACAACCUAUUGCAAAAUGCAGAAUAAAACUGCAUAUAAUAGAUCGUUGUGGUCCGACCCUUUUCUGAAACCCAUACAUAGCGGAAGCUUAGUUUCCUUGAAAGCAGCUUAGUGCAAAUUUCAUAGUGAUCCAUGAGCUGUUAUGCUUAUUGAGAUAUUCCCCAACAAAACUAUCAACUUCUACGGGUUAAAAAACCUUUAGACUUUUGGUAUCUAUGUCGUUAUUAAAGUUGAAAAGCAUGUUCAAUUGAUCUAGUGUUUCAUUGUGAAAGCAAUUGGCACUCAGGUCACUUUCAAAUUCCUGUCAAGACAUCAAUUAUCGAUGGCUAAUUACUCGUUUUCCCCCUUUUUUGACAAUUUGCAGGGGUGUUCUAUUGUGGGGCACCAGCACUGACCAAAGAACUAAGACAACACGCCUUGGAUUUUUCACACAAGACCUCCACCAAGUUUGAUUUCCAUAAAGAAAAUUUUUGAUCAAAGAAUAGACCAUUAAGCAGAGCAUUAAAAAUUCAUCAAAACAGCUAAAGACACAAGUUGUUUUCUAGAAUCUACCACCUCUCCCUAUUGUGUACAGAUAAUGUUGCACUUCAAGUUGAUAUACAGUUGUGGUUGUGAUAUCAGUAUAUUACAAAAUAAUAAGAUUAUUUUUAGUAUAUAGAUACCAAAGGAAUUAAGAAUGUUCGUCUUCCAUAAAUUGAGAGGCAAAUAGUAAGGCAGGCAGAAGAUAGUGGAGUUGAACCUGUUUUCAUGGGUGCCACCUACCACUAAAAUUGGAGUUUCUAUUAUACUUGCAUAGAGGAAGGUGGCUGCCAUCAUUUUUGUUUUUAUUUAUUUUAUUUUUUUGUACUCUUUUACGUGGUGGUAUAGAAAGCCAACGAGCCACCAACUUAGUAAUUAUUGACCAUGAUAUGUUGUACUAUGUUUAAUUUAAUAGUUUCUAGUAUUAAUUGUAACUAGGCCUUCUUGUAUAAAAGAGCUAAAUAAUUUGGAGAUUAUAAGUGAAUGCUAUAGAACUAUUGUUUAUACUGGAUGACA